This 575-nucleotide ribosomal RNA is filed under the name uncultured Bacteroidota bacterium. RNAcentral's name for it is "bacterial SSU rRNA". It matches the Rfam family "Bacterial small subunit ribosomal RNA", at positions 345 to 916 of the family's 1533-position model. The record is from RNAcentral. Lineage: Bacteria; Pseudomonadati; Bacteroidota.
GAGGCAGCAGUGAGGAAUAUUGGACAAUGGGCGCAAGCCUGAUCCAGCCAUGCCGCGUGCAGGAUGACGGUCCUAUGGAUUGUAAACUGCUUUUGCACAGGAAGAAACACUCUCUCGUGAGAGAGCUUGACGGUACUGUGAGAAUAAGGAUCGGCUAACUCCGUGCCAGCAGCCGCGGUAAUACGGAGGAUCCAAGCGUUAUCCGGAAUCAUUGGGUUUAAAGGGUCCGUAGGCGGUUUAGUAAGUCAGUGGUGAAAGCCCAUCGCUCAACGGUGGAACGGCCAUUGAUACUGCAAGACUUGAAUUAUUGGGAAGUAACUAGAAUAUGUAGUGUAGCGGUGAAAUGCUUAGAGAUUACAUGGAAUACCAAUUGCGAAGGCAGGUUACUACCAAUAUAUUGACGCUGAUGGACGAAAGCGUGGGGAGCAAACAGGAUUAGAUACCCUGGUAGUCCACGCCCUAAACGAUGAUGACUAGUUGUUGGAGGAGUUAAAUCCUUAAGUAACGCAGCUAACGCGCGAAGUCAUCCGCCUGGGGAGUACGGUCGCAAGAUUAAAACUCAAAGGAAUUGACGG